RNAcentral lists this ribosomal RNA (752 nucleotides) under uncultured Glomus. RNAcentral describes it as "SSU rRNA". It matches the Rfam family "Eukaryotic small subunit ribosomal RNA", at positions 338 to 1091 of the family's 1831-position model. Lineage: Eukaryota; Fungi; Glomeromycota; Glomeromycetes; Glomerales; Glomeraceae. The record is from RNAcentral.
GGCCUACCAUGGUGGUAACGGGUAACGGGGUGUUAGGGCACGACACCGGAGAGGGAGCCUGAGAAACGGCUACCACAUCCAAGGAUGGCAGCAGGCGCGCAAAUUACCCAAUCCCGACACGGGGAGGUAGUGACAAUAAAUAACAAUACGGGGUUCUUUCGGAUUUCGUAAUUGGAAUGAGUACAAUUUAAAUCUCUUAACGAGGAACAAUUGGAGGGCAAGUCUGGUGCCAGCAGCCGCGGUAAUUCCAGCUCCAAUAGCGUAUAUUAAAGUUGUUGCAGUUAAAAAGCUCGUAGUUGAAUUUCGGGAUCAUCAGGUUGGUCGUGCCUCUGGUAUGUACUUUCCUCGAUGGUUCCUCCUUCUUGAAGAUCCGUAAUGUCAUUAAUUUGGUGUUGCGGGGAAUCAGGACUGUUACUUUGAAAAAAUUAGAGUGUUUAAAGCAGGCAAUCGCUUGAAUACAUUAGCAUGGAAUAAUGAAAUAGGACGUUCGAUCCUAUUUUGUUGGUUUCUAGGAUUGACGUAAUGAUUAAUAGGGAUAGUUGGGGGCAUUAGUAUUCAAUUGUCAGAGGUGAAAUUCUUGGAUUUAUUGAAGACUAACUACUGCGAAAGCAUUUGCCAAGGAUGUUUUCAUUAAUCAAGAACGAAAGUUAGGGGAUCGAAGACGAUCAGAUACCGUCGUAGUCUUAACCAUAAACUAUGCCGACUAGGGAUCGGAUGAUGUUAAUUUUUUAAUGACUCAUUCGGCGCCUUAC